Ruditapes philippinarum (Manila clam) is the source of this 1714-nucleotide long non-coding RNA. RefSeq lists it as uncharacterized. Lineage: Eukaryota; Metazoa; Mollusca; Bivalvia; Venerida; Veneridae. The record is from RefSeq and is a predicted model, not a curated record. The transcript has 3 exons.
CAAACACCUGACGUUGUUUCAACGUUGGAUCUAAGUUGGAUUUAUGUCAUGACGUCAAAAUCCUAAAUACAACGUUGACACAACGUUGUAUUUGCGACGUCGUAUCAACGUGUUGGAAUUACGUUGAUACAACGUCGGAUUUGAGUGUAAUCCAACAUAGUAGUCUUGAUUGUGUUACUUCCCUUUGUUCUGAUUUAUAAACCCGAUAGGUGGCUCUAAUUUCAGGUCAAUAUAUUAAUUAUUCGAAUUUUGUUAUUCAUUUUUUUACAUCCAUUGUAUUUUUGUUUAAAAAAUGUUGUUUUACUAGACCAUAAAAAGGAACAAUAUUAGUAUUUCAAUUAAAUUAAUUGAAAAAAAAUAAUGGAAACUUGAUGAAUUUCAAAACGAGGCUACAACAACAAUUUGUUUUCAAAUUCAAACAAAGACAAAGGAAGGACAUUAUAUGCUCAUCAUAGAAGACAACUCGCAUAGUGAAAAACUGACACUUAAUUUUUGUGUGAUGACAAUUAGCUGAUCAGAUUGUAUACAUGAACAACAGUCGACAGAAAACACCAUUUGGACAUAAAAGAAUGCCAAGUGCAUCAAAUUAAGUUUCAAGGAAAAAUAAAACAAGUUGAACAUCAAAACAAGUUUGACACAGUGUCUUCGUAGAUGAAAAUAAUCAGGAUCCAGUGGUGGACGUUUAGUAUACCAGAAUUAUUCACAUGGAGGAAAAUAUCUCCAAAUUUAAUACUUUAAAGUUUUUUUUUAAAGAAUAAAGAUAAAAAAGUACUUACUUGCUUUAAAUGUGAACGUUUAUUUAUUGUUUUGUAUGUUACACUUAAUUUUGACAGAAAGGAAUAUUUUCCUUCACUUAUUCGAUUUGUUACCGAUGAAAUCAACUGCAAAAGAAAGCUUUAUUUUCCAUGAUUUCCAUUUUCUAUGAGUUAUUUAAAAGAAAACCCUUUUAAGCAUGUUGUAAACAUGAAUACUUUUAUUGACAUAAAUUGUAAUAGGUAAUGUAUACUGUAGACCUUUAAAUGAAAAUAAUUUGUUGACUGUUUUGUUAUGAUUUUGGAUUACAAAAUGUGUAUAAUUGUAUUGACUGAAAGAGGUCUGAUAAAUGUUGAACUUCAAUUUUGAAAAUACAUGUAACUCUUAUUUCUUUUUGAUUUUAAAAGUUUAUAUACAAUUUAUAAAUAUCAAACUUUAUUUUAUUAUCACUAUAAAUGAUUAAAAGUGAGUCAUUUUUGUGAUGUUAUACAAAUGUGUUGAAAAUAUAUAUUUACUGUAUAUUAAGUUUUACAUGAAUAGAUAAAUCAGAAACUGUGUUAUAUACAUUUUGUUUAAUUGUUUUUAUGAUCACUUUCUUAAAAUAAUAAAAUCACUUUUCCAGUAUAGAAAGUUUUGUAUUUUCUCUUUAUUUGGGAAUUAUUUAAUGAAAACGGGUCAGAUUUAUGUUGGGAAUUGGUUGGAAUUACGUUGGAAACUAGUUGGUAUUACGUAAGUAACUGGUUGGAAUCAUGUUGGAAACUGGUUGGAUUCACGUUGGGAAUAGGUUGGAAAGUAGUUGUAUAUACGUUGAAAAGAGGUUGGAUUUAUGUCAUUUUAUGACGUUGGAUUGACGUCGGACUCUGACGUCUAAAAAACUUUCAUAUACAACUAAAUUCCAACGUCUAUCCAACGUCGGACUCUAACGUCUGAGCAACGUUGAAACAACGUCAUGUGUUUGCUG